RNAcentral lists this microRNA precursor (104 nucleotides) under Vriesea carinata. RNAcentral describes it as "miR408 stem-loop (vca-MIR408)". Its record names the gene vca-MIR408. The record is from miRBase by way of RNAcentral. Lineage: Eukaryota; Viridiplantae; Streptophyta; Magnoliopsida; Poales; Bromeliaceae.
AAGGAGACGGGGACGAGGUCGGGCAUGCGAGGGGUUGAGUCCGCAUAGAAAAAGAUUCCCUAUGCGGGUGCCCUUCCCAUGCACUGCCUCUUCCCUGGCUCCUU